This 1374-nucleotide long non-coding RNA is filed under the name Meriones unguiculatus (Mongolian gerbil). RNAcentral describes it as "lncRNA (ENSMUGG00000010922.1)". Lineage: Eukaryota; Metazoa; Chordata; Mammalia; Rodentia; Muridae. The record is from RNAcentral.
CAUACUGAAACUUUUUUUUUAAAUGAUCUCUGUGUUUCACUCCAGGAGGCGUUGCAGGCCUUGGAACAAGAUGUGGAAAAGCAGAAGGUCUGCUGGGAGAAUGAGGUGCUCCAACUGAAAGAAUACAACCAGGAGAUAGUCUCAGAAAUGGAGACUAUCAAGCUCCAAGUGGAGAAGCUUCAGACCCAGCUGUCAAGUAAAGACAGUGAACUGGAGAAGCUUGCUCAGCACGACAAAGAAAGGACACAUCUGUGGCUCAAACAAAUUAACUGGGAGCACCGUGUCAAAAUAACUGAACAGGGGAAGAAGCUUGAGUGGACCGAGGAAAUUAGGAGGGAGAAAGAAACUGCCUUGAGGAAGAAAGAAGAGCGCAUGCAGGAUGAGGUGUCUGACCUGACAAGGCUACAUAGAUGCAACAUGGACAAUCAGGUUCUCCAAACUGAGAAAGAUGAACUGCAAGAUAAAAUCUCUAACCUACAAAAGGAGAACAGUAAACUGAGCUUACUGACUCAGCAACCUUCAGACCAAGGAGAUGCUAGGAACAAUUCAGGCCUUUGCUAUGGAAACCCAUAUCUAGCACAAAACGAAAACAUGUUUAUAUCUGCUACACGGGCCCCCUUAAACUAAGAAUGAUUGUGAGAAUUAUCAGGUAAGAAUUACAUUUACAAUGUCCAGUCUGUUUGCGUUUGUAUUUGUAGCUAUCCUAAGUGAGACCUAGCCUAGUGUACCAAGCCACUUAAAAUUUAUCAACCUAAAAAGUUCCCAAACAACUUAAGCUUAAUUAUAGUCUGCAACCUCAUCGGAAACAUGGAGGAAAUAUUACCUAAUAUGUAAAGUUCAGGCAAGCAGCUUCUAAAAGUUAGGGAAGUGAUAGACAGUUGACUGCCUGGACAGUCACCAAAGGUUUCUCUGUCCUUGGAGCGUCCAAUCUUCAGCCUACCUUGCCCAUAAUAUCUGACAGGCUUUUCUGUAAAGCUGGAAAUUUGGAAGACUGGCCUACCUAAUUUUUGUUCAGUGGCUCUUGUGCCACAUUUGUUUCUUUGAAGUAAAUUGGACGUGCUGCUAGGAGCAGAUGUAUCUCUGACAGAGAAGCCUUUUAUUAUUAAAAUCUUUAAAUGUCACAUUCUGAAGCAUUUGAAGGCCAUUUAUCUAUUUACCAUUACAUGGUGCACAGUCACCUAUCUCAUAUCUAAAUAGAUGUUGCUUGUUUCUAGCUAUGUGCUGUCUGUUUAUAAUCCUGAAAACACGUGGAAGAGACUAGCUUAUUUCUGUAGUUAACUAAACUAGUAUCUAACAACUCCAGGUAAGAUAGAUGACUAGCUCCUAAUUUGCAGCUCCAAUCAUCCUGAACAGUUUACAACAGUUGGCUACAGA